This 1296-nucleotide long non-coding RNA is filed under the name Triticum aestivum (bread wheat). RNAcentral describes it as "long non-coding RNA (TAES_LNC010609)". Lineage: Eukaryota; Viridiplantae; Streptophyta; Magnoliopsida; Poales; Poaceae. The record is from RNAcentral.
UCAUACUGUAUUCUUUUUUAUCAUAUCAAUUAACUUUUAUUGCUGCCCUGCUAAAUCAGUACCGGUAACAACCAAAAGAUAUCUGAAUACAUUUUAUUUAGAUGCUUCUAUGCAAGAACAUCACAUCUUUCACAUCGGAACAACACAAGCAUCUGUAUAUUGUACAACAACCACUCAUGUAAACUACAGAAAACCUGCAUACAAGAUUUUCUAGCAAAUGUACAUUCUUGAUGAUUACAUGGUGCUACAAAAACUGAAGCCUGAGACAGCCAUACACGAUCUGGACUAGUAUGAGAGGUGAAAUUAUCAGUUUCAUCAAUGCCAUCUUGGAGACCUAUGAAGAUGACUCCUCUGAAGAUUACCCAGUCAUAGCUCAGGCUCUUCAACAGAUUUACCGGCUCCGGGCAAUGAGACUCCGUAAUGACCUUCAAACAAAAUAAUGGUGGCAUCAGGGGAGCCAAGCUAAACUUAGUAGUGACACCCUAAGCUACAAUCAUAGGCAUCUCUGUGUGGAAAUAACAUUGGAUUCCAAAGUAUCACAUUUUUAGAACACAAAGGACAGUCACUACUAGAGAAGUAGCGAUGCACCAUUGGUGAUACAUAUUGAUUUGGCUCAGCGGUAGUUAGCUAAAAAUGUUUUUGUAACUAUGGAAAACAUAAAUUGAUGAUGAGUAAAGGACGAACUAGAUAACAAAAUCAAUAAGAUGAACUCGUAAUGCUUUCACGAAAUUCAGUUAGACUCUGUAAGUACACGUUCUCUUUAAUAUUGUUUACCAAUAAAGGAUGAAAACAGGGAGUGCAUCCCUUGUAAUUGGCACGCAGAUUGUAGAAAUAUAGUCGCAGCUCAUACCUAAAUUUGGUGCUCACAGCACACUAUUCCAAUUCUUAAUCAACAAAAACAUGCCCUUUAGUCAACUGGAACAAGAUGGAUAGAGGAAGAAGCGAACAUACCUACAUCCUUGAGCUGCUAUCGUUGGAUAGUGCUGACGGCGGCGGCUAUCGUUGGAUAGUGCUGACGGCGGCGGCUAUCGUUGGAUAGUGCUGACGGCGGCGGCGGCGCCGGCGGCGGAUUUUUGAGAGAGACCGUCGAAAUUUAAUAACCCUAAUUCGCCUGAGUGGUACAAAAGAGGGAGAGACAGCCGCGUUUCGUUAAGCUCUGAGAUCAAUCUUUGAGUUCGCUGGACCUUAACCCUAGCUUCAAGAGGAUGUACUGGUACAGAAUCUGGCAAAGGGGAGGAAGACGAUCUGAGUACGGGGAGGCCAAUUCGUUGGAUUUAGCUGAGCUGCAAGGACUGG